Molecule: long non-coding RNA, 1721 nt
Organism: Bos grunniens (domestic yak)
Lineage: Eukaryota; Metazoa; Chordata; Mammalia; Artiodactyla; Bovidae
Source: Ensembl
GUACACAUGCUCAGUCGUGUCUGACUCUUUGUGAAUGUGGAUCUGGUGCUCUGGGGUGUGUGUGUGUGUGUGUGUGUGUGUGUGUGUGUACACAUGCUCAGUCAUGUCUCUUUGUGAAUGUGGAUCUGGUGCUCUGGGGUGGGUGGGUGUGUGUGUGUGUACACAUGUUCAGUCGUGUCUGACUCUUUGCGAAUGUGGAUCUGGUACUCUGGGAUGUGUGUGUGUGGGUAGUGUGUGUGUGUGUGUGUACGUGUUCAGUCGUGUACAACUCAUUGCGACCCCAUGGACUGCAGCCCGCCAGGCUCCUCUGUCCAUGGGAUUUCCCAGGCAUCAAUACUGGAGUGGGUAGCCAUUCUCUUCUCCAGGGAAUCUUCCCAACCCAUGGAUUGAACCUGUGUCUCCUGCAUUGCAGGUGGAUUCUUUACAGUCUGAGCCACAAGGGCAGCUGCUGGCGCUCUGGAGAGGGGUUUAAAUUGCCAACUCCCUCCGGUCAUCUUCACGGAUGUCCAACAGGCAUUUCAAAUUCAGCACCUCUAAAAUUCUCUCUCUCCAUCUCCACCCCCUCAAUUUUUCUCCUUCUUGUGGUCCCAGUGCUAAUCACCAGCAGGAAAUCUACUGAGUGGCCCAAACUUGACUUCUCAUCUUUUGUAGCCAGUCUCCCAGGCCUCUUCAUCCUACCUCCUAAGAAGCUACUAAACACAUCUCUUCCUUUUAGAUUCACAGUCAGGGCUUAGUCUAGGCCUUCAGAGGCAAAACCAUCCUUGUAUCUACCCAUUCUAAUCUUUUACACCAUUGUCUGAACUCUUUGUAUAACAUGCAAAUCCUCCUGCUAAUGCAGGAGACAUGGGUUCAAUCCCUGUGUUGGGAAGAUACCCUGGAGGAGGAAAUGGCAACCAGUCCAGCAUUCUUGCCUAGGAAAUCCCAUGGACAGAGGAGCCUGGUGGGAUAUAGUCCAUGGGGUUGCAAAGAAGUGGACACAACUCAAUGACUAAACAACUUAACCUUACCUCAAGACUCUCCACAAAUGUCACCUCCUCAGUCCAUGGGAUUUCCCAGGCAAGACCACUGGAGUUUGUUGCCAUUUCCUUCUCCAGGGAUCUUCCCAACCCAGAGCUCUAACGCUGGUCUCUUGAGUCUUCUGCAUUGGCAGGUAGAUUCUUUACCACUGAGCCACCAGGGAAGCUCGGAUAAUAGGCUCAGCUUCUGUAAAAAAAAAAAUCUCUCCUAAUCACAGGCUCAGGUGCUAUGCUACUCCCAAAUCCAUAGGUGCCAUCGUGCUUAUACGCAACAAAACCCUGAAGACUCCUGGCGGCUCUCAGGGUUCCUACCAAGAAGAACAAGGAGUGCCAUUUAUCACAAAUAGCUCCUUGGUCCCUGGCCUAGGAGGCACUAUCCCAGAAACAUGCAGAGAAGGCUGAAUUUCCCCUAAGUACCAUUAGGUUUUCAUGCCCUGUUCUGGGAACAGAGAAGUGAGCGUGAGAGAUCAUGAUGAUUGUGAGCAACAGAAUGGAUUUUAAUGUGUGGUCUGGGAAAGCAGCUGCAAUACUUUAUAACCACUUCUUGCACAAACACUCUCACCACAGAAUGAGAGGGACCUACCACUCUCUAGUCUAGACUCUCAGGGUUAGUAAUGUACCGUUAUCUAUAUACUCAUUGGUCAUCACUGAAUACGUAUACCUCGUGUAUCCGACCCCAUGGUAAUUCAUUGCAUUCACUUGUCU